Molecule: ribosomal RNA, 490 nt
Filed under: uncultured bacterium
Lineage: Bacteria
Description: partial 16S ribosomal RNA
Rfam family: Bacterial small subunit ribosomal RNA
Source: RNAcentral
AUUGAACGCUGGCGGCAGGCCUAACACAUGCAAGUCGAACGGUAACAGGAAGCUUCUUGCUGGUUUUCGGGCGGGUGGCGGGAGGGUGACCAAUGACUCGGCAACUUCGUGAUGGAGGAGGACAACUACUGGAAGCGGUAGCUACUUCCGCAUAACGUCGCAAGACCAAAGAGGUUGGGCUUCGGUCCUCUUGCAAUCGGAUAUGCCCGGGUGGGAAUAGCUAGUAGGUGGGGUAACGUCUCACCUAGGUGACGAUCCGUACCUGGUCUGAGAGGAUGAUCAGCCACACUGGAACUGAGACACGGUCCAGACUCCUACGGGAGGCCGCAGUGGGGAAUAUUGCACAAUGGGCGCAAGCCUGAUGCAGCCAUGCCGCGUGUGUGAAGAAGGCCUUCGGGUUGUAAAGUACUUUCAGCGGGGAGGAAGGGCGUAAAGUUAAUACCUUGCCUCAUUGACGUUACCCGCAGAAGAAGCACCGGCUAACUCCGUG